UGACAGCUGAACGUCCUCGUCAGCUUAACUCCCCUCGGCUUGGCUCUGCUCCUCUUCAGCAGGAGUUCCUCGGGCUUCAUCUUCCUUUAACCCCAGUCAAACCACCGUCAUCUAAAGCAAAAGAAAUCUUUUGAUUGUUGUUUCAUACUUUGUUGUCAUUGACAACUACCCAUUGUAAAAUGAUCACAAGUGUGCAUUUCAAGUGAUCAGAUUAAAAUAGGUAGCUACAACUCGUAUUCACAAACUAUAGCCACAAUGUCGGGGCAAACUAUAGCCACAAUGUCGGGGCUAUCAAACGCCACAAUGUCGGGGCGAACAAUUGCCACAAUGUCGGGGCAAACUAUAGCCACAAUGUCGGGGCUACAAUAUUAAUCCCUCUGCGAAGCGUCACACGCAGCUCACUCUUCUCUGCCCAGCACUGCAGCACAGGCCCAGCAAUGCAGCACAGGCCAAGCAAUUCACCGCUCAUCAGCAGGCUGUACGGUGCGAUGCUCAGCUGAGUAUGUCACGCGCAGCAGUACUCAACGUAGCUCAGGCAGGCAGCACACACUCUUCGCACCUCUGGCCACGCUAUGUUACACGUGAAGUUGGUCGCUAGUGGUCACAGCUGUAACAUUUAAAAAUAGGCAACAAACAUCUAAUCGUACGUAGUCAUGUUUAGGCUAAGCUCCAAACCACAUCUCAUGUCGGCGGUAACAGUAUGUAGCACUGUUUUAUAUUGUCCAGCAGUAUCACUCAAGUUAUUUUUUUUUUUUUUUUAUUGGUCCAAUAUCAGAUAUUA
Molecule: unclassified non-coding RNA, 781 nt
Filed under: Melitaea cinxia (Glanville fritillary)
Lineage: Eukaryota; Metazoa; Arthropoda; Insecta; Lepidoptera; Nymphalidae
Description: misc RNA ENSMCXG00005010070.1
Source: RNAcentral